AGUGAACGCUGGCGGUAGGCCUAACACAUGCAAGUCGAACGACAGCACAGUAAGAGCUUUCUCUUACGGGUGGCGAGUGGCGGACGGGUGAGGAAUACAUCGGAAUCUACUUUUUCGUGGGGGAUAACGUAGGGAAACUUACGCUAAUACCGCAUACGACCUACGGGUUAAAGCAGGGGAUCUUCGGACCUUUCGCGAUUCAAUUAGCCGAUGUCGGAUUAGCUAGUUGGCGGGGUAAAGGCCCACCAAGGCAACGAUCCGUAGCUGACCUGAGAGGGUGAUCAGCCACACUGGAACUGAGACACGGUCCAGACUCCUACGGGAGGCAGCAGUGGGGAAUCUUCGACAAUGGGCGAAAGCCUGAUGCAGCCACACCGCGUGAGUGAAGAAGGUCUUCGGGUCGUAAAGCUCUUUUGUUGGGAAAGAAAAGAAGCAUAAUAAUCUACCCACGUCUUGACGGUACCCAAAGAAUAAGCCACGGCUAACUUCGUG
RNAcentral lists this ribosomal RNA (492 nucleotides) under uncultured bacterium. RNAcentral's name for it is "partial 16S ribosomal RNA". It matches the Rfam family "Bacterial small subunit ribosomal RNA", at positions 29 to 507 of the family's 1533-position model. The record is from RNAcentral.